Molecule: microRNA precursor, 90 nt
Filed under: Octodon degus (degu)
Lineage: Eukaryota; Metazoa; Chordata; Mammalia; Rodentia; Octodontidae
Description: microRNA 212 (ENSODEG00000022411.1)
Rfam family: mir-132 microRNA precursor family
Source: RNAcentral
GGGCAGCGCGCCGGCACCUUGGCUCUAGACUGGUUACUGCCGGGCCGCCCUCAGUAACAGUCUCCAGUCACGGCCACCGACGCCUGGCCC